Molecule: ribosomal RNA, 253 nt
Filed under: uncultured bacterium
Lineage: Bacteria
Description: partial 16S ribosomal RNA
Rfam family: Bacterial small subunit ribosomal RNA
Source: RNAcentral
UACGGGGGGGGCAAGCGUUGUUCGGAAUUACUGGGCGUAAAGGGCUCGUAGGCGGCCAACUAAGUCAGACGUGAAAUCCCUCGGCUUAACCGGGGAACUGCGUCUGAUACUGGAUGGCUUGAGUUUGGGAGAGGGAUGCAGAAUUCCAGGUGUAGCGGUGAAAUGCGUAGAUAUCGGGAGGAACACCAGUGGCGAAGGCGACUACCUGGCCUGUUCUUGACGCUGGGGCGCGAAAGCUAGGGGAGCAAACGGG